UGAUAGCUGUGAAGCGUGAGGUUGCUGUCGGGAUGCAAGUUCAGGCAGGUUUUCCGUGGAGCGAAUGUCAAGUUAGGAAACUGACGACAA
Molecule: non-coding RNA, 90 nt
Filed under: bovine gut metagenome
Description: S10-Clostridia ribosomal protein leader
Rfam family: S10-Clostridia ribosomal protein leader
Source: RNAcentral